This 440-nucleotide ribosomal RNA is filed under the name uncultured bacterium. Its description in RNAcentral is "bacterial SSU rRNA". It matches the Rfam family "Bacterial small subunit ribosomal RNA", at positions 338 to 773 of the family's 1533-position model. The record is from RNAcentral.
CCUACGGGAGGCUGCAGUCGAGAAUCUUCGGCAAUGGGCGAAAGCCUGACCGAGCGACGCCGCGUGCGGGAUGAAGGCCUUCGGGUUGUAAACCGCUGUCAGAGGGGCUGAAAGCCAGGGGGGUUCUCCCUCCUGGUUGACAUAGCCUCAGAGGAAGCACGGGCUAAGUUCGUGCCAGCAGCCGCGGUAAGACGAACCGUGCGAACGUUGUUCGGAAUCACUGGGCUUAAAGGGUGCGUAGGCGGCCUAGCAAGUCGGGUGUGAAAGCCCUCGGCUCAACCGAGGAAUUGCGUCCGAAACUGCUGGGCUCGAGGGAGAUAGGGGCGCGUGGAACUUCGGGUGGAGCGGUGAAAUGCGUUGAGAUCCGAAGGAACACCGGUGGCGAAAGCGACGCGCUGGGUCUCUUCUGACGCUGAGGCACGAAAGCUAGGGUAGCGAAC